UAAAAUCCUCCCCACACUUAAGAUAUGCAUUGUCUUCAAUAUACAAACAAAGAUAAACAUAAUAAAAAACAUAACAUAGUAACAUGAUGAGAGAACUGAAAUUGCCCUAAAUUGCUAUGAUUGGGUGGAGAUAGUGAAAUCUUAAAUCAUUGGAGAUCCAAAGUUAAGUACAAUUAUCCUAGCAAGAAUCAAAAGAAAACAAAAUAAUAUAAAAAGGUAAAAAGAAAACGGAAGAAAAAUAAAACAAAAAAACUUCUAGUGAAAAACAAAAUAAUAAUAAAAGAGGAUGGGGAGAAGAGUCGGCGUUGAAGAGGGGAAGGGAAAAGAAAUAAAAUAAAUAGAAAAUAAAAACAAAGAAAAAAAUAGAACGAAAAGAAAAUGACAUAAAGAAUACGGAAGGGGGAAGGAAAAUAAAAGAAACAGUAAAGUCAAAGAGAGGGAGAAUAAAAUGUAGUAGGGUUUGGGAAAUAGAGGGGAUGCAAAAAGAAAAGGAAGGGAAAAAAGAAAGAAAGAAAGAAAGAAAAAACAAAAAGUGAAAAUGAAACGGUGUGUUUUAAAAAACAGGUGGUAUGGUCGUGUCUCUAGGCUAUGUAACUUCCGGGAACCAUUUGCUUCCAAAAACAACCAUUUCUAGUCUUCACACGACUAUGUUUCUAGACUAUGUGGUCCAC
RNAcentral lists this long non-coding RNA (671 nucleotides) under Gossypium raimondii (Peruvian cotton). RNAcentral's name for it is "long non-coding RNA (GRAI_LNC007768)". Lineage: Eukaryota; Viridiplantae; Streptophyta; Magnoliopsida; Malvales; Malvaceae. The record is from RNAcentral.